Molecule: unclassified non-coding RNA, 391 nt
Filed under: Hevea brasiliensis (rubber tree)
Lineage: Eukaryota; Viridiplantae; Streptophyta; Magnoliopsida; Malpighiales; Euphorbiaceae
Source: RNAcentral
AAGAGCUUCUCCACCAUAGCGGCAGCAGCUUCAACGGACUCCUGGUUCUCAGCUUCCACCAACACAUGUAAAUCUUCAUUGUCAGCAGGGUCGGGUUUCAAAUUCCCCUUUUGCUGGAACCUGCCCUCCUUGAUUGACCCUUUGCCUCGAAUUACAAUCUUUGCUCCUGUCUCCUUUUCCAUCCUCUUCUGAGUAUUCCCUCUUGGACCAAUAAUCAGCCCAAUAAAAUUAUAGUCAGGGAACUCCUUCAUGGGAAUGUAGAGCUUCUUUUGAAGCUUAGGAGGCCUAUAAUCAGCAGGAGGUUUAAAAGCAGGGUUCUUCUUAAUGAUUUGUGAUAUAAUCUCUUGUCUCUCCCUAUUCAACUUUUCUCGUGCACGAAACUCCCUGGUGU